CACACCAGAAUCUGAAGACUGUGAGUUUCUCCUCUGUGUGUCUGUAUCUUGUAUUAUUAAGGGCCAUGCCAUUAACCCUACAACAGGUCUGUUGAACCGCUGAACAUUAUAUGGAAGGACACUUGAGGCACAAAGCAUUCUUUUGGGCAGUGUGCAAUGUGAUCAAAGACUCAUUCAUAACCUGAUUUUGGAUUCUGGAAUCAUCUGGCAGCUAGCAUCUAGAGUGUGGAAGAACAAGGAUAUCCAAACGUGAGUGAACUCAUCACAUAAUCAAAUAAAAUGAUAUUUGUCACGUGCGCCGAAUACAACAGGUGUAGAUCUUACAGUGAAAUGCUUACUUACAAGCCCUUAACCAACAAAGCAGUUUUAAGAAAAAUACCCCCCAAAAAUUAAAAAUAGAAAUAAAAGUAAUAAAUAAUUAAAGAGCAGCAGUAAAAUAACAAUAGCGAGGCUAUAUACAGGAGUCAAUGUGCGGGGGCACCGGUUAGUCAAGGUAAUAGGUACAUGUAGGUAGAGUUAUUAAAGUGACUAUGAAUAGAUAAUAAACAGAGAGUAGCAACCAUUUGAUUAGAUGUUCAGGAGUCUUUUGGCUUGGGGGUAGAAGCUGUUUAGAAGCCUCUUGGACCGAGACUUGGUGCUCCGGUCCCGCUUGCCAUGCGGUAGCAAAGAGAACAGUGUAGAACGUUUUGAGGAUCUGAGGACACAUGCCAAAUCUUUUCAGUCUCCUGAGGGGGAAUAGGUUUUGUCGUGCCCUCUUCACAACUGUCUUGGUGUGCUUGGACCAUGUUAGUUUGUUGGUGAUGUGGACACCAAGGAACUUGAAGCUCUCAACCUGCUCCACUACAGCCCUGUCAAUGAGAAUGGGGGCAUGCUAGGUCCUCUUUUUCCUGUAGUCCACAAUCAUCUCCUUUGUCUUGAUCACGUCGAGGGAGUGGUUAGAGAGAAUACAGCAGACGGUUUGUGUUCAAAGAUGAUUGAUGACCUAUUUUAUGUGUCACGUAGUUAUGCCCAUAUAUGUACAUCCUGUCCUUCCGUUCUCACGCUAUCGAGUGAGUUCUUAUGUAACCUGAUAGUUCAUCUGUUUAUGGUAAAGCAUGUGUUUGCAUUAAAGUUGUCAAGAUGAUUGAUGUGUAGUGACCUUGUUGAACUAUGGAAUGUGUUUGAACAUUUUAAAGAGUAGAGUAGUGUCUCUUCUGUUUAUGAUGAUGUAUAUGAAACAGUAAUUUCCGGGGGGUAGGGUAUUGGUCAGUAUAAGUAAAGAGCUGUGAACACUACGAGCGACACGAAGCCUCGAGAGAGAUAAACCACUGAAGACUCUAAAGAAGAAAGAAAUAAAACAUGGCUCCUAGACCAAUUUUAGGUGUAUUGUGAUUUAACUACAAUGAAUGAAAUCCCUUUCUCUCUCUCUCUCUCUGUGUGUGUGUGUGUGUGUGUGUGUGUGUGUGUGUGUGUGUGUGUGUGUGUGUGUGUGUGUGUGUGUGUGUGUGUGUGUGUGUGUGUGUGUGUGUGUGUGUGUGUGUGUGUGUGUGGACAAGGAUCUGUAGCGGGGUUGUGUGUGGGAGGUCGUUCGGUUAGAAGCAGAGAAACAUGCUGAUAACAUUAUUUUCUAAGAAAGGAAUUAAAGAAGAAUUAUACAUGUAAACAUUUAAAGGAUAUAAAUGGCAUUUAUGUAUUCAUUUUUGAGUUUGCAACCCAAUGUGACACUUUGAAUACAUCACAGAAGACUGAAAUGUAACAUAACACAUAUUGUGUUUAUUGAGAUGUACACUGAGAUGCUCAUUUGGGCAAUAUUCCCCUCCAGUGAUUCCCCAACAUCUUGUCAACAUGGGACCCAAAAAUGGAGCAGAUAUCAUAUACCAACAUAUCUUUAUAGACAUGUAUCCAUAACAAGGCUUAGGAGGCCCUUAUAGUGUCCAAAAAUGUCUCUAAAAUGUCACAUAUUUUAAACAUCUUCAUUUUCAUGCAUACAACUUGUCAACAAGUAUUUUUAUGACCAAAUGCACAUUCUUUAGUGUAGACAUACAUUUUUUAUGAUUUCAUGACUGUUUGGUAGUAGAUCCCUGAAUGGUCAGAAAUCUGUUCAAAUAGAAGUAUGUUUGUAGCACAAAAUAUCUUACAGGUAGGGCCUCUUUCACUCUCUCAACAUGUAACAAG
Molecule: long non-coding RNA, 2154 nt
Filed under: Salmo salar (Atlantic salmon)
Lineage: Eukaryota; Metazoa; Chordata; Actinopteri; Salmoniformes; Salmonidae
Description: lncRNA (ENSSSAG00000084222.1)
Source: RNAcentral